GUGCUCGCUUCGGCAGCACAUAUACUAAAAAUUGGAACGAUACAGAGAAGAUUAGCA
Molecule: small nuclear RNA, 57 nt
Organism: Ochotona princeps (American pika)
Lineage: Eukaryota; Metazoa; Chordata; Mammalia; Lagomorpha; Ochotonidae
Source: Ensembl